AAGGGAGACCUAGUUCGGGUAGAAGACGAAAAAAUAGUAGUCGAAACCAAGAAUCAAUCCCAAAAGGUCGGAACGAGGUAUGUGGCUUUCAAACUAGGUUCUGGGUUCACAAAAGACCUGAAUCAGGAACAAGGGCUAUUAGCUCAGGUGGUUAGAGCGCACCCCUGAUAAGGGUGAGGUCCCUGGUUCGAGUCCAGGAUGGCCCACCUGCACAGGUGGCAAAAACAAGAGAAACGAGGAAUCAGCACCUUAUCUUACUUACAUAGUAAGAGAGAAUGCUGGCUCUGAGUAAAGAGUCCAGAGGAACCUUGAAAACUGCAUAGAGCUAGGUGAAAAAGCCAAAAAAGAAGACCGCAA
RNAcentral lists this transfer RNA (357 nucleotides) under uncultured Microcystis sp. RNAcentral's name for it is "partial 16S-23S ribosomal RNA intergenic spacer". The stretch from base 133 to 206 matches the Rfam family "tRNA". Lineage: Bacteria; Bacillati; Cyanobacteriota; Cyanophyceae; Chroococcales; Microcystaceae. The record is from RNAcentral.